Molecule: ribosomal RNA, 2710 nt
Filed under: Staphylococcus aureus
Lineage: Bacteria; Bacillati; Bacillota; Bacilli; Caryophanales; Staphylococcaceae
Description: bacterial LSU rRNA
Source: RNAcentral
UUAAGUUAUUAAGGGCGCACGGUGGAUGCCUUGGCACUAGAAGCCGAUGAAGGACGUUACUAACGACGAUAUGCUUUGGGGAGCUGUAAGUAAGCUUUGAUCCAGAGAUUUCCGAAUGGGGAAACCCAGCAUGACUGGAAAGAUGAAUCAAAGAAGGUAAUAAUCCUGUAGUCGAAAAUGUUGUCUCUCUUGAGUGGAUCCUGAGUACGACGGAGCACGUGAAAUUCCGUCGGAAUCUGGGAGGACCAUCUCCUAAGGCUAAAUACUCUCUAGUGACCGAUAGUGAACCAGUACCGUGAGGGAAAGGUGAAAAGCACCCCGGAAGGGGAGUGAAAUAGAACCUGAAACCGUGUGCUUACAAGUAGUCAGAGCCCGUUAAUGGGUGAUGGCGUGCCUUUUGUAGAAUGAACCGGCGAGUUACGAUUUGAUGCAAGGUUAAGCAGUAAAUGUGGAGCCGUAGCGAAAGCGAGUCUGAAUAGGGCGUUUAGUAUUUGGUCGUAGACCCGAAACCAGGUGAUCUACCCUUGGUCAGGUUGAAGUUCAGGUAACACUGAAUGGAGGACCGAACCGACUUACGUUGAAAAGUGAGCGGAUGAACUGAGGGUAGCGGAGAAAUUCCAAUCGAACCUGGAGAUAGCUGGUUCUCUCCGAAAUAGCUUUAGGGCUAGCCUCAAGUGAUGAUUAUUGGAGGUAGAGCACUGUUUGGACGAGGGGCCCCUCUCGGGUUACCGAAUUCAGACAAACUCCGAAUGCCAAUUAAUUUAACUUGGGAGUCAGAACAUGGGUGAUAAGGUCCGUGUUCGAAAGGGAAACAGCCCAGACCACCAGCUAAGGUCCCAAAAUAUAUGUUAAGUGGAAAAGGAUGUGGCGUUGCCCAGACAACUAGGAUGUUGGCUUAGAAGCAGCCAUCAUUUAAAGAGUGCGUAAUAGCUCACUAGUCGAGUGACACUGCGCCGAAAAUGUACCGGGGCUAAACAUAUUACCGAAGCUGUGGAUUGUCCUUUGGACAAUGGUAGGAGAGCGUUCUAAGGGCGUUGAAGCAUGAUCGUAAGGACAUGUGGAGCGCUUAGAAGUGAGAAUGCCGGUGUGAGUAGCGAAAGACGGGUGAGAAUCCCGUCCACCGAUUGACUAAGGUUUCCAGAGGAAGGCUCGUCCGCUCUGGGUUAGUCGGGUCCUAAGCUGAGGCCGACAGGCGUAGGCGAUGGAUAACAGGUUGAUAUUCCUGUACCACCUAUAAUCGUUUUAAUCGAUGGGGGGACGCAGUAGGAUAGGCGAAGCGUGCGAUUGGAUUGCACGUCUAAGCAGUAAGGCUGAGUAUUAGGCAAAUCCGGUACUCGUUAAGGCUGAGCUGUGAUGGGGAGAAGACAUUGWGUCUUCGAGUCGUUGAUUUCACACUGCCGAGAAAAGCCUCUAGAUAGAAAAUAGGUGCCCGUACCGCAAACCGACACAGGUAGUCAAGAUGAGAAUUCUAAGGUGAGCGAGCGAACUCUCGUUAAGGAACUCGGCAAAAUGACCCCGUAACUUCGGGAGAAGGGGUGCUCUUUAGGGUUAACGCCCAGAAGAGCCGCAGUGAAUAGGCCCAAGCGACUGUUUAUCAAAAACACAGGUCUCUGCUAAACCGUAAGGUGAUGUAUAGGGGCUGACGCCUGCCCGGUGCUGGAAGGUUAAGAGGAGUGGUUAGCUUCUGCGAAGCUACGAAUCGAAGCCCCAGUAAACGGCGGCCGUAACUAUAACGGUCCUAAGGUAGCGAAAUUCCUUGUCGGGUAAGUUCCGACCCGCACGAAAGGCGUAACGAUUUGGGCACUGUCUCAACGAGAGACUCGGUGAAAUCAUAGUACCUGUGAAGAUGCAGGUUACCCGCGACAGGACGGAAAGACCCCGUGGAGCUUUACUGUAGCCUGAUAUUGAAAUUCGGCACAGCUUGUACAGGAUAGGUAGGAGCCUUUGAAACGUGAGCGCUAGCUUACGUGGAGGCGCUGGUGGGAUACUACCCUAGCUGUGUUGGCUUUCUAACCCGCACCACUUAUCGUGGUGGGAGACAGUGUCAGGCGGGCAGUUUGACUGGGGCGGUCGCCUCCUAAAAGGUAACGGAGGCGCUCAAAGGUUCCCUCAGAAUGGUUGGAAAUCAUUCAUAGAGUGYAAAGGCAUAAGGGAGCUUGACUGCGAGACCUACAAGUCGAGCAGGGUCGAAAGACGGACUUAGUGAUCCGGUGGUUCCGCAUGGAAGGGCCAUCGCUCAACGGAUAAAAGCUACCCCGGGGAUAACAGGCUUAUCUCCCCCAAGAGUUCACAUCGACGGGGAGGUUUGGCACCUCGAUGUCGGCUCAUCGCAUCCUGGGGCUGUAGUCGGUCCCAAGGGUUGGGCUGUUCGCCCAUUAAAGCGGUACGCGAGCUGGGUUCAGAACGUCGUGAGACAGUUCGGUCCCUAUCCGUCGUGGGCGUAGGAAAUUUGAGAGGAGCUGUCCUUAGUACGAGAGGACCGGGAUGGACAUACCUCUGGUGUACCAGUUGUCGUGCCAACGGCAUAGCUGGGUAGCUAUGUGUGGACGGGAUAAGUGCUGAAAGCAUCUAAGCAUGAAGCCCCCCUCAAGAUGAGAUUUCCCAACUUCGGUUAUAAGAUCCCUCAAAGAUGAUGAGGUUAAUAGGUUCGAGGUGGAAGCAUGGUGACAUGUGGAGCUGACGAAUACUAAUCGAUCGAAGACUUAAUCAA